GUUUGGAUUAGGGUUUGGUUUAGGGUUUAGGAUUUGGAUUAGGGUUUGGUUUAGGGUUUAGGAUUUGGAUAGGGUUUGGUUUAGGAUUUAGGAUUUGAAUUAGGAUUUGGUUUAGGAUUUAGGGUUUGGAUUAGGAUUUGGUUAGGGAUUAAGGUUUGAUUAGGAUUUGGUUUAGGAUUUAAGGUUUAUCUAGGGUUUGAUUAAGGUUGGAUUAGGAUUAGGAUUUGAUUAGAAUUUAAGGUUCUAUUAGAUUUUUGUUAGGAUUUGACUAAUUUUUCUUUAAUAUUCUUUUAUAUUUCUUUAGGAUUUCCUUGUGUUUCUUUUAUAACUUCAAUAAAAUUUAAUUGAGCUUGCUUAAUGUUUGAUUAUGAUUUUUAAUGUUUAAUUAUAAAUUUUCUAUAAUCCUAUUGGAUUGUUAGGACAUUUUGUUGUAAUUUUCUUUUACCUUCCACAGCCAGUUGUUCAGUGCAUUCUCAAGCAAGACUUCACGUAAUACGACACCACAUUCUUUUUUUCAAAUACAUCUUGAAAUUCUUGAUAUUGGCUUGGAAUGCCAUGUGAAGUCUUU
This 568-nucleotide long non-coding RNA is filed under the name Physcomitrium patens. Its description in RNAcentral is "long non-coding RNA (PPAT_LNC012410)". The record is from RNAcentral. Lineage: Eukaryota; Viridiplantae; Streptophyta; Bryopsida; Funariales; Funariaceae.